Molecule: ribosomal RNA, 242 nt
Filed under: uncultured Ureaplasma sp.
Lineage: Bacteria; Bacillati; Mycoplasmatota; Mycoplasmoidales; Mycoplasmoidaceae
Description: partial 16S ribosomal RNA
Rfam family: Bacterial small subunit ribosomal RNA
Source: RNAcentral
UCUACCCUUAAGUUGGGGAUAACUAGUCGAAAGAUUAGCUAAUACCGAAUAAUAACAUCAAUAUCGCAUGAGAAGAUGUAGAAAGUCGCUCUUUGUGGCAACGCUUUUGGAUGAGGGUGCGACGUAUCAGAUAGUUGGUGAGGUAAUGGCUCACCAAGUCAAUGACGCGUAGCUGUACUGAGAGGUAGAACGGCCACAAUGGGACUGAGACACGGCCCAUACUCCUACGGGAGGCAGCAGCC